ACGUGGGCAACCUGCCUGUAAGAUUGGGAUAACCCCGGGAAACCGGGGCUAAUACCGGAUAAUACUUUUCGUUGCAUAACGAGAAGUUGAAAGGCGGCUUUUAGCUGUCACUUACAGAUGGGCCCGCGGCGCAUUAGCUAGUUGGUAAGGUAACGGCUUACCAAGGCGACGAUGCGUAGCCGACCUGAGAGGGUGAUCGGCCACACUGGGACUGAGACACGGCCCAGACUCCUACGGGAGGCAGCAGUAGGGAAUCUUCCGCAAUGGACGAAAGUCUGACGGAGCAACGCCGCGUGAGUGAUGAAGGUUUUCGGAUCGUAAAACUCUGUUGUCAGGGAAGAACAAGUGCCGUUCAAAUAGGGCGGCACCUUGACGGUACCUGACCAGAAAGCCCCGGCUAACUACGUGCCAGCAGCCGCGGUAAUACGUAGGGGGCAAGCGUUGUCCGGAAUUAUUGGGCGUAAAGCGCGCGCAGGCGGUCCUUUAAGUCUGAUGUGAAAGCCCACGGCUUAACCGUGGAGGGCCAUUGGAAACUGGAGGACUUGAGUACAGAAGAGGAGAGUGGAAUUCCACGUGUAGCGGUGAAAUGCGUAGAGAUGUGGAGGAACACCAGUGGCGAAGGCGACUCUCUGGUCUGUAACUGACGCUGAGGUGCGAAAGCGUGGGGAGCGAACAGGAUUAGAUACCCUGGUAGUCCACG
RNAcentral lists this ribosomal RNA (700 nucleotides) under Virgibacillus marismortui. RNAcentral's name for it is "bacterial SSU rRNA". It matches the Rfam family "Bacterial small subunit ribosomal RNA", at positions 115 to 799 of the family's 1533-position model. Lineage: Bacteria; Bacillati; Bacillota; Bacilli; Caryophanales; Bacillaceae. The record is from RNAcentral.